AUUGAACGCUGGCGGCAGGCCUAACACAUGCAAGUCGAGCGGUAACAGGAAGCUUCCUCCUGUAUCCCGCGGCGGACGGGGGAGUAAUGCCUAUGAAUCGGCCUGGUAGUGGGGGAUGAGGUCAGGAAAUGGGAACGGAAACCGCAAACGCCCAGAGGGGGAAAGCGAGGGAUCUGCGGACUCCGCGCUAUCGCCUGCGCCUAGGUCGGAUUAGCUAGUAGGUGGGGUAACGGCCUACCUAGGCGACGAUCCGUAGCUGGUCUGAGAGGAUGAGCAGCCACACUGGAACUGAGACACGGUCCAGACUCCUACGGGAGGCAGCAGUGGGGAAUAUUGCACAAUGGGCGCAAGCCUGAUGCAGCCAUGCCGCGUGUAUGAAGAAGGCCUUCGGGUUGUAAAGUACUUUCAGCGGGGAGGAAGGGAGUAAAGUUAAUACCUUUACUCAUUGACGUUACCCGCAGAAGAAGCACCGGCUAACUCCGUG
This 484-nucleotide ribosomal RNA is filed under the name uncultured bacterium. Its description in RNAcentral is "partial 16S ribosomal RNA". It matches the Rfam family "Bacterial small subunit ribosomal RNA", at positions 29 to 507 of the family's 1533-position model. The record is from RNAcentral.